GUGGAUUAGAUACCCUGGUAGUCCACGCCGUAAACGUUGGGAACUAGAUGUGGGGGCCAUUCCACGGUCUCCGUGUCGCAGCUAACGCAUUAAGUUCCCCGCCUGGGGAGUACGGCCGCAAGGCUAAAACUCAAAGGAAUUGACGGGGGCCCGCACAAGCGGCGGAGCAUGCGGAUUAAUUCGAUGCAACGCGAAGAACCUUACCAAGGCUUGACAUACACGAGAACGGGCCAGAAAUGGUCAACUCUUUGGACACUCGUGAACAGGUGGUGCACGGCUGUCGCCAACU
RNAcentral lists this ribosomal RNA (289 nucleotides) under uncultured bacterium. RNAcentral describes it as "partial 16S ribosomal RNA". It matches the Rfam family "Bacterial small subunit ribosomal RNA", at positions 773 to 1060 of the family's 1533-position model. The record is from RNAcentral.